AGUAGUUUGAUCAGUGGCUCAAGAAUGAACGCUGGCGGCAGGCCUAACACAUGCAAGUCGAGCGAAGUCUUCGGACUUAGCGGCGGACGGGUGAGUAACGCGUGGGAACGUACCUUUUGCUUCGGAAUAGCCUCGGGAAACUGGGAGUAAUACCGAAUGUGCCCUACGGGGGAAAGAUUUAUCGGCAAAAGAUCGGCCCGCGUUGGAUUAGGUAGUUGGUGGGGUAAUGGCCUACCAAGCCGACGAUCCAUAGCUGGUUUGAGAGGAUGAUCAGCCACACUGGGACUGAGACACGGCCCAGACUCCUACGGGAGGCAGCAGUGGGGAAUCUUAGACAAUGGGCGCAAGCCUGAUCUAGCCAUGCCACGUGAUCGAUGAAGGCCUUAGGGUUGUAAAGAUCUUUCGUGGGGGAAGAUAAUGACGGUACCCCAAGAAGAAGCCCCGGCUAACUCCGUG
Molecule: ribosomal RNA, 456 nt
Filed under: uncultured bacterium
Lineage: Bacteria
Description: bacterial SSU rRNA
Rfam family: Bacterial small subunit ribosomal RNA
Source: RNAcentral